Molecule: long non-coding RNA, 1092 nt
Filed under: Malus domestica (apple)
Lineage: Eukaryota; Viridiplantae; Streptophyta; Magnoliopsida; Rosales; Rosaceae
Description: long non-coding RNA (MDOM_LNC012631)
Source: RNAcentral
UCCAAUUCUCAUUUAAAGAGACAAAACAAUUUUGUUCUCAACCUAAUUUGGGCCAAAAUGCAAUUACCACAACCUUUGGGCAAUAUUGCAAAAACAUAAACUUUAUGAAAUAAAUCAAAACUUUGAAUCAAAACACAAAACUUUUUGUUCUUGGCUAAAAUGUCAAGAACAAUGAAGAACAUUCAUGAAAAACUCAAAAAAUUUCCAUGAACAUUUUUCACCCAAAAACAUUCCAAAACCUUCAAAUUCAAACUUUAGGGAAAAAUAACAUAUAACCAAACUAGGGUACAUAGGGGUUCCAAAAGUCACUUUAAAACACUUUUAACAAGUCAAACAAGAACCCAAAAAAUCACCCGAUGUAUUUGGCCGAAUUUUCCCAAAAUCAUGGCACCAAAUUUUAGCUCCAAUAUUCAUGCUCAUAUGAACUACAUCUACAACAUUUGAGAUGGCAAAUUUUCUAACAAAAUUUACAUUCAAAGAAACAAGAAUAAAGCUUGUAACAUAUUACAACAUUUAAAUCAAAACUAUGAACUACAAAACCCAAAAGGAUUCACCAACUACUAGACCUAGGCUCUGAUACCACUUGAAUGAUGAUUUUGUGAAAACAUGUUCAUUUGAAUAACAUCUAUAGCAUGCAUUUAACAAUUAAAAGGCGGAAUCAUGCUUGCAUGCAUUCAAAAACAAAACAUUACCCAUAAAAUUCAAAGCCUAGUAGAUUGGUGAACCAAGACUCAACUCAAAUCAAAGUGAGUUGAGAAAUUAUACCUUUGUAGAUUCCUCUUUGCAUAAGCAAAGGCUAAUCACCCAAAAAGAGGGCCUUCAUUCCUUGCAUCUUAGAUCUAUGGAUUUGGAUGGAUGAAAUGGUUCUCCAAGUUCCCAAAAUUGAGAACCUCUAAGUCUUCACACCAAGGAAAGAUUGAUGAAGAAAUGAGUGACCUUGGAGUAGUAGGAUUGCUAGCUAAUCCCUCCUAGGGGGCCGGCCACUUUAGAGAGAAAGGAGAGCUUUGUGUUCUCUCCAAUUUCCCAGAAACCCUUAAUGAAUUUUGGCUAUAAAGUCAUAUUUAUACAUUAAUUCAUUGGAGUGGCAAACUU